RNAcentral lists this long non-coding RNA (250 nucleotides) under Salvia miltiorrhiza (redroot sage). RNAcentral's name for it is "long non-coding RNA (SMIL_LNC011571)". Lineage: Eukaryota; Viridiplantae; Streptophyta; Magnoliopsida; Lamiales; Lamiaceae. The record is from RNAcentral.
CUAGUAUUAUACCCGUGCUACGCACGACCCAAUUAUUCAUACGUAUUUAUCAUAUAUAAUAACAUUAAUAUAUAGAAUUGUAAAAAGCAAAAAAAAAAAAAUGAUACAAAACAUACCAGUGCUUCGCACAACAUAUAUAAUAAGAGUAACAUACUCGUGCUUCGCACGACAUGAAUAUUGAUACGUAUUUGUGAAGUAUUGUAGCGGUACUAUAGAAUUGUAAAAAGAAAAACAAAAGUGAUACAAAACA